AUGCUUGUCUCAAAGAUUAAGCCAUGCAUGUCUAAGUAUAAGCAAUUAUACCGCGAAACUGCGAAUGGCUCAUUAUAUAAGUUAUCGUUUAUUUGAUAGCACAUUACUACUUGGAUAACCGUGGUAAUUCUAGAGCUAAUACAUGCUAAAAAUCCCGACUCCGGAAGGGAUGUAUUUAUUAGAUUAAAAACCAAUGCCCUUUGGGCUUACAGGUGAUUCAUGAUAACUUCUCGAAUCGCAUGGCCUUGCGCCGGCGAUGGUUCAUUCAAAUUUCUUCCCUAUCAACUUUCGAUGCGAAGGUAUUGUCUUCGCAUGGUUACAACGGGUAACGGAGGGUUAGGGCUCGACCCCGGAGAAGGAGCCUGAGAAACGGCUACUACAUCCAAGGAAGGCAGCAGGCGCGCAAAUUACCCAAUCCCGACACGGGGAGGUAGUGACAAUAAAUACUGAUACAGGGCUCUUUUGGGUCUUGUAAUUGGAAUGAGUACAAUUUAAAUCCCUUAACGAGGAACAAUUGGAGGGCAAGUCUGGUGCCAGCAGCCGCGGUAAUUCCAGCUCCAAUAGCGUAUAUUAAAGUUGUUGUGGUUAAAAAGCUCGUAGUUGAACCUUGGGCCUGGCUGGCCGGUCCCCCUCACCGGGUGCACUGAUCCAGCCGGGUCUUUCCCUCUGUGGAACCCCAUGGCCUUCACUGGUCGUGGCGGGGAAACAGGACUUUUACUUUGAAAAAAUUAGAGUGCUCCAGGCAGGCCUAUGCUCGAAUACAUUAGCAUGGAAUAAUAGAAUAGGACGUGUGGUUCUAUUUUGUUGGUUUCUAGGACCGCCGUAAUGAUUAAUAGGGACAGUCGGGGGCAUCAGUAUUCAAUUGUCAGAGGUGAAAUUCUUGGAUCUAUUGAAGACUAACUACUGCGAAAGCAUUUGCCAAGGAUGUUUUCAUUGAUAAGGAACGAAAGUUAGGGGAUCGAAGACGAUCAGAUACCGUCGUAGUCUUAACUAUAAACUAUGCCGACUAGGGAUCGGACGAUGUUAUUUUUUGACUCGUUCGGCACCUUUCGAGAAAUCAAAGUGCUUGGGCUCCAGGGGAGUAGUGUCGCAAGGCUGAAAGGAAUUGACGGAAGGGCACCACCAGGGGUGGAACCUGCGGCUUAAUUUGACUCAACACGGGGAAACUCACCAGGUCCAGACACAGUGAGGAUUGACAGAUUGAUAGCUCUUUCUUGAUUCUGUGGGUGGUGGUGCAUGGCCGUUCUUAGUUGGUGGAGUGAUUUGUCUGCUUAAUUGCGAUAACGAACGAGACCUUAACCUGCUAAAUAGCCCGUAUUGCUUUGGCAGUACGCCGGCUUCUUAGAGGGACUAUCGGCUCAAGCCGAUGGAAGUUUGAGGCAAUAACAGGUCUGUGAUGCCCUUAGAUGUCCUGGGCUGCACGCGCGUUACACUGACAGAGCCAGCGAGUUCUUUCCUUGACCGGAAGGUCCGGGUAAUCUUGUUAAACUCUGUCGUGCUGGGGAUAGAGCAUUGCAAUUAUUGCUCUUCAACGAGGAAUCCCUAGUAAGCGCAAGUCAUCAGCUUGCGUUGAUUACGUCCCUGCCCUUUGUACACACCGCCCGUCGCUACUACCGAUUGAAUGGCUCAGUGAGGUUUUCGGACUGACCCAGGGAGGUGGGAAACUACCACCCAGGGCCGGAAAGUUACCCAAACUCGGUCAUUUAGAGGAAGUAAAAGUCGUAACAAGGUCUCCGUAGGUGAA
RNAcentral lists this ribosomal RNA (1744 nucleotides) under Magnisphaera spartinae. RNAcentral describes it as "SSU rRNA". It matches the Rfam family "Eukaryotic small subunit ribosomal RNA". The record is from RNAcentral. Lineage: Eukaryota; Fungi; Ascomycota; Sordariomycetes; Microascales; Halosphaeriaceae.